Molecule: ribosomal RNA, 765 nt
Filed under: Aulographum hederae
Lineage: Eukaryota; Fungi; Ascomycota; Dothideomycetes; Aulographales; Aulographaceae
Description: eukaryotic LSU rRNA
Rfam family: Eukaryotic large subunit ribosomal RNA
Source: RNAcentral
AUUGCCUCAGUAACGGCGAGUGAAGCGGCAAUAGCUCAAUUUUGAAAUCUAGCACCUCUGGUGUUCGAGUUGUAAUUUGUAGAAGAUGUUCCCGAGUUUACCUUGGUCUAUGUUCCUUGGAACAGGUCGUCAUAGAGGGUGAGAAUCCCGUAUGUGGCUGAGUGUACUCUCGAUGUGGGACUCUUCGUCGAGUCGAGUUGUUUGGGAAUGCAGCUCAAAGUAGGAGGUAAAUUUCUUCUAAAGCUAAAUACCGGCCAGAGACCGAUAGCGCACAAGUAGAGUGAUCGAAAGAUGAAAAGCACUCCGGAAGGGGGGUCAAAAAGCACGUGAAAUUGUUGAAAGGGAAGCGCUUGCAACCAGAUUGCAUCUGGGGACUUGUGAACCUUUUGCUGGCAGUUUUGUUUUCGGUAGCCAGUUAACAUGCCAUCAAUGUAGCUCCCUCGGGAGUGUUAUAGGGUGGUCUAAUGUGGCUUAUCGUGAGCGAAACUGCCGUAAUGGUUGUAAGCGGCCCGUCUUGAAACACGGACCAAGGAGUCUAACAUUUAUGCGAGUCUUUGGGUUUCAAACCCACAGGCGUAAUGAAAGUGAACGGAGGUAGUUACGCUAUCGACCGAUCCUGAUGUCUUCGGAUGGAUUUGAGUAUGAGCAUAUAUGCUGGGACCCGAAAGAUGGUGAACUUUGCCUGGUUAGGGUGAAGUCAGAGGAAACUCUGAUGGAAGCCCGCAGAGGUUCUGACGUGCAAAUCGAUCUUCAAAGCUUGGCAAA